UUGGCUGCCAACGCGGUCCACAGGGUUUGGGCUCCCGAAACUUCAGGGAAGCUGGAGGCAUGGGCGGGGGAGGGGGGGGUCGAGUUGAAAUGAGGAGCACACAGAAACCAAGUGUCCCCAAGACUCCAGAAAAGAGGGAGCCAGUCCCAGAGUAAAUAGGUUGGCUAGAACAGUACCCAAGCCAGGGAGCCGGGCGGAGGGGAGUGGUCACGUCCAGACUGGAAAACUUUCUGCAAAGCAACGGGUUGGGUCCACCUCGCUGUCCAGUUUCAGUCACGUGCCAGACUUUUUCUUAAUUACAAACUGAUAGAUGGUCCACAUCUCAACUAACAGUAUUGACGCUGUAAGAGCAUCAGAUUUGAAACAUAUCUGUGUUAAUGAAGAGUGACUGCAUGCAAACGACAAUAUGUCAGGAAAGAAAAAAAGAUCCCAUAGAAAUGUUUCAUUCUGGACAGCUGGUAAAAGUCUGUGCCCCAAUGGUUCGAUAUUCAAAGU
RNAcentral lists this small RNA (495 nucleotides) under Pan troglodytes (chimpanzee). RNAcentral describes it as "processed transcript". The record is from RNAcentral. Lineage: Eukaryota; Metazoa; Chordata; Mammalia; Primates; Hominidae.